UCUCUAUGGAAAUGAUUUCUCUGCUCUCAGCACACUGAAGGCAACAUGGGUCACAAAGACAGGAGGAAAACAUUUAGACUAAUACCAUUAAUGACUUUGAUGGAAAAGAGGAAAAUAUAUGAGAUGGAAUGGAACUCUGGGUUUAGAUGCUCAUUCUCAGAGUGCAGGAGGUUUUUGUACAGCCACUUAAUGAGUUUGUAUCACUGUGGUGGACUUUUGGUGGAGGAACCAAACUCAUCAUUGAUUUGGGUGUGGUACAGCCCACUCUGACUGUCCUCCCUCCAUCCAAAGAGGAGGGGAAGCAGAACAGUGCCACUGUGGUGUGUCUGGCCAGUGGAGGUUUCCCCUCAAAUUGGAAGCUAGGCUGGAAGGUGGGGGGCACCAGCACAUCCUCAGGGGUGUCAAACAGCCCUGAAGUCCUGGGGACAAACGGCCAUUACAGCUGGAGCAGCACCCUGAGCCUCUCUGCAGACCAGUGGAGGAAGGCGGGCUCAGUGACCUGUGAGGCCAGUCUGAGCGGACAGAGCCCUGUCACUCAAACCCUGAACCCUGACCGCUGCUCAGAGUAGAGCCUCAGCAACACUUCCUGUCUGCAAAUGUGUUUUAUAGUUUGAUGAAGCCACACAUUUCCUCUGUUCUCAUAUUCUUGCAAACAUUUGACUCUUUUCAUGUGCAUGCAGAUUUCAUCAGCUAAUCUUUUCCACCUGUGCUUUAAAACCAUGUUGUAAAAAAGUCAA
This is a non-coding RNA of Archocentrus centrarchus (flier cichlid), 737 nucleotides long. The record is from the annotation of a RefSeq genome assembly. NCBI's taxonomy places the organism in Eukaryota, Metazoa, Chordata, Actinopteri, Cichliformes, Cichlidae.